This 260-nucleotide long non-coding RNA is filed under the name Coffea arabica (coffee). RNAcentral's name for it is "long non-coding RNA (CARA_LNC004216)". The record is from RNAcentral. Lineage: Eukaryota; Viridiplantae; Streptophyta; Magnoliopsida; Gentianales; Rubiaceae.
GGGCUCAAAAAAUGUACUCUCUCGGCUCUGACACAGAGGAGACAAGCCAAAAAAACAAAAAACACACAAACUACUCCCUCAAUUCACUCUCUCGGCUCGCGGACACACAAGGGAAGUCAGACACAAAAAGAAAAAACCAACUCUCCACUCCCGAACUCUCCCUCUCGGCUCUUUCUUUUUUUUUUUUUUUUUCCAACACACUCCACAAAUCAAAUAAAAAGGAGGAACUAGUGGCCAGGCCAUUGCGGUUUAGGAAUUUC